AGAACGAACGCUGGCGGCAUGCCUAAUACAUGCAAGUCGAACGAACUCUUCGGAGUUAGUGGCGCACGGGUGCGUAACGCGUGGGAAUCUGCCCCUUGGUUCGGAAUAACAGUUGGAAACGACUGCUAAUACCGGAUGAUGACGAAAGUCCAAAGAUUUAUCGCCAAGGGAUGAGCCCGCGUAGGAUUAGCUAGUUGGUGAGGUAAAGGCUCACCAAGGCAACGAUCCUUAGCUGGUCUGAGAGGAUGAUCAGCCACACUGGGACUGAGACACGGCCCAGACUCCUACGGGAGGCAGCAGUAGGGAAUAUUGGACAAUGGGCGAAAGCCUGAUCCAGCAAUGCGCGUGAUGAUGAAGGCCUUAGGUGUAAAGCUCUUUUACCCGGGAAGAUAAUGAACUGUACCGGGAGAAUAAGACUCCGGCUAAACUCCGUGCCAGCAGCCG
Molecule: ribosomal RNA, 444 nt
Filed under: uncultured soil bacterium
Lineage: Bacteria
Description: bacterial SSU rRNA
Rfam family: Bacterial small subunit ribosomal RNA
Source: RNAcentral